Molecule: non-coding RNA, 774 nt
Filed under: Langia zenzeroides
Lineage: Eukaryota; Metazoa; Arthropoda; Insecta; Lepidoptera; Sphingidae
Source: RNAcentral
AAUAAAUUUUUUAUGGUUUAUAAAAUUUAUUAUAAGUUUAUUUUACAUAUAAAUUUUAGUGUUAAUUAUUAAUUAUUUUAAUAAUAAUUGAUAUAUAUUGUAGUAAUUAAUUUUAAAAAUUUAAGAAAUUAAGAUUUAGUAAUAUUUAAAUUAAUAACUAAUUUUGUGCCAGCAGUUGCGGUUAUACAAAAAUUGAUUUAAAUUUUUUUAGUUUUAAUUAAUAGUAUUUAUUUAAUUUAAAAUUUAAAUUAUUAAGUGAAAUUUUAAUUUAAUAAAAAAUUAUUAUAAAAUUAUGUUUUAAUAAAUUUUAUAAAAAACUAGGAUUAGAUACCCUAUUAUUAAAAAUUUAAAUUAAUAAUACUAAAAUAGUAAUUAAUUAUUUAUUGAAACUUAAAUAAUUUGGCGGUAUUUUAGUUUAUUUAGAGGAAUCUGUUUAAUAAUUGAUAUUCCACGAAUAAAUUUACUUAAUUUAAAAUUUUGUAUAUCGUUGUUAUAAAAAUAUUUUAUAAUAAUAAUAAUAUUUAAAAAUUUAUAAUUAAAAUUAAAUCAGAUCAAGAUGCAGAUUAUAAUUAAGAAUAUAAUGGAUUACAAUAAAUUUAUUUAAAUUGAAUUUUGAUAUGAAAUUUAUUAAAUGAAAUUGGAUUUAAAUGUAAUUUUAUUUAAAUUAAUAAAAUGAUUUAAAAUUAAAAUAUGUACAUAUUGCCCGUCGCUUUCAUUAAUAAGUUGAAAUAAGUCGUAACAAAGUAGAGGUACUGGAAAGUGUUUCUAGAAAGU